This 103-nucleotide small nucleolar RNA is filed under the name Rosellinia necatrix. RNAcentral's name for it is "Small nucleolar RNA snR60/Z15/Z230/Z193/J17". It matches the Rfam family "Small nucleolar RNA snR60/Z15/Z230/Z193/J17". Rfam says of the family: The members of this family belong to the C/D class of snoRNAs which contain the C (UGAUGA) and D (CUGA) box motifs. Most of the members of the box C/D family function in directing site-specific 2'-O-methylation of substrate RNAs. The family includes the yeast snoRNA snR60 (also known as Z15) and the corresponding human guide snoRNA U80 (SNORD80). Lineage: Eukaryota; Fungi; Ascomycota; Sordariomycetes; Xylariales; Xylariaceae. The record is from Rfam by way of RNAcentral.
CUUGGUGACCUGAUGAUACCCAUUUAUGCAUAGUUCAUCUGAUUUUAUAUGAUGACAACCGACAUCAAUUAGUCUUUCGCUCCCAUCUGACUCAAUCACCGAC